Molecule: ribosomal RNA, 560 nt
Filed under: Roseicyclus sp.
Lineage: Bacteria; Pseudomonadati; Pseudomonadota; Alphaproteobacteria; Rhodobacterales; Roseobacteraceae
Description: bacterial SSU rRNA
Rfam family: Bacterial small subunit ribosomal RNA
Source: RNAcentral
CAGUCGAGCGAGAUCUUCGGAUCUAGCGGCGGACGGGUGAGUAACGCGUGGGAACGUGCCCUUCUCUACGGAAUAGUCCCGGGAAACUGGGUUUAAUACCGUAUACGCCCUUCGGGGGAAAGAUUUAUCGGAGAAGGAUCGGCCCGCGUUGGAUUAGGUAGUUGGUGGGGUAAUGGCCUACCAAGCCGACGAUCCAUAGCUGGUUUGAGAGGAUGAUCAGCCACACUGGGACUGAGACACGGCCCAGACUCCUACGGGAGGCAGCAGUGGGGAAUCUUAGACAAUGGGCGCAAGCCUGAUCUAGCCAUGCCGCGUGAGUGACGAAGGCCCUAGGGUCGUAAAGCUCUUUCACCAGGGAUGAUAAUGACAGUACCUGGAGAAGAAACCCCGGCUAACUCCGUGCCAGCAGCCGCGGUAAUACGGAGGGGGUUAGCGUUGUUCGGAAUUACUGGGCGUAAAGCGCGCGUAGGCGGGCUGUUAAGUCGGGGGUGAAAUCCCGGGGCUCAACCCCGGAACUGCCCUCGAUACUGGCAGCCUAGAGUUCGAGAGAGGUGAGUGGA